CGACGAGGGGAGNCCAAGUGCUUGCACAAUGUGUAAGCUGUUUCCGUGCCUAAAAAGCACGGAGAGUAAGGGCUGGGUAAGACGGGUGCCAGCAGCCGCGGUAAUA
This 106-nucleotide ribosomal RNA is filed under the name uncultured crenarchaeote. Its description in RNAcentral is "partial 16S ribosomal RNA". It matches the Rfam family "Archaeal small subunit ribosomal RNA", at positions 368 to 475 of the family's 1478-position model. The record is from RNAcentral. Lineage: Archaea; Thermoproteati; Thermoproteota.